RNAcentral lists this transfer RNA (85 nucleotides) under Staphylothermus marinus. RNAcentral describes it as "tRNA-Ser". It matches the Rfam family "tRNA". Rfam says of the family: Transfer RNA (tRNA) molecules are approximately 80 nucleotides in length. Their secondary structure includes four short double-helical elements and three loops (D, anti-codon, and T loops). RNAcentral also lists the same sequence under 1 other name. Lineage: Archaea; Thermoproteati; Thermoproteota; Thermoprotei; Desulfurococcales; Desulfurococcaceae. The record is from RNAcentral.
GCCGGGGUACCCGAGCCUGGUUAAGGGGCCGGCCUGCUAAGCCGGUGGGGGACACCCCGCGCGGGUUCAAAUCCCGCCCCCGGCG